GUGAGGAAUAUUGGACAAUGGGCGCAAGCCUGAUCCAGCCAUGCCGCGUGCAGGAAGAAGCAUCUAUGGUGUGUAAACUGCUUUUGUACGGGAAGAAAAAACGCUACGUGUAGUGCACUGACGGUACCGUAAGAAUAAGGAUCGGCUAACUCCGUGCCAGCAGCCGCGGUAAUACGGAGGAUCCAAGCGUUAUCCGGAAUCAUUGGGUUUACAGGGUCCGUAGGCGGCCUUAUAAGUCAGCGGUGAAAGUUUUUGGCUUAACCAAAAAAUUGACAUUGAUACUGUAGGGCUUGAAUAUUUGUGAAGUAACUAGAAUAUGUAGUGUAGCGGUGAAAUGCUUAGAUAUUACAUGGAAUACCAAUUGCGAAGGCAGGUUACUAACAAAUGAUUGACGCUGAUGGACGAAAGCGUGGGUAGCGAACAGGAUUAGAAACCCCAGUAGUCC
Molecule: ribosomal RNA, 445 nt
Filed under: uncultured bacterium
Lineage: Bacteria
Description: partial 16S ribosomal RNA
Rfam family: Bacterial small subunit ribosomal RNA
Source: RNAcentral